Molecule: non-coding RNA, 264 nt
Filed under: Drosophila ananassae
Lineage: Eukaryota; Metazoa; Arthropoda; Insecta; Diptera; Drosophilidae
Description: Eukaryotic large subunit ribosomal RNA
Rfam family: Eukaryotic large subunit ribosomal RNA
Source: Rfam by way of RNAcentral
GUAUGGCUUCUAACCCAUUUAAGUUUUAUUAUUUAUAUUUUAAACGACAAUGGAUGUGAUGCCAAUGUAAUUUGUAACAUAGUAAAUUGGGAGGAUCUUUGAUCACCUGGUGCCAUGCUAGUUACAUAUGAAAACAUUAUUUAAUACAAUGACAAAGCCUAGAAUCAAUUGUAAACGACUUUUGUAACGGGCAAGGUGUUGUAAGUGGUUGAGCAGCUGCCAUACUGCGAUCCACUGAAGCUUAUCCUUUGCUUGAUGAUUCGA